GACGAACGCUGGCGGCGUGCUAAUACAUGCAAGUCGAACGCUUCUUUUUCCACCGGAGCUUGCUCCACCGGAAAAAGAGGAGUGGCGAACGGGUGAGUAACACGUGGGUAACCUGCCCAUCAGAAGGGGAUAACACUUGGAAACAGGUGCUAAUACCGUAUAACAAUCGAAACCGCAUGGUUUUGAUUUGAAAGGCGCUUUCGGGUGUCGCUGAUGGAUGGACCCGCGGUGCAUUAGCUAGUUGGUGAGGUAACGGCUCACCAAGGCCACGAUGCAUAGCCGACCUGAGAGGGUGAUCGGCCACAUUGGGACUGAGACACGGCCCAAACUCCUACGGGAGGCAGCAGUAGGGAAUCUUCGGCAAUGGACGAAAGUCUGACCGAGCAACGCCGCGUGAGUGAAGAAGGUUUUCGGAUCGUAAAACUCUGUUGUUAGAGAAGAACAAGGAUGAGAGUAACUGUUCAUCCCUUGACGGUAUCUAACCAGAAAGCCACGGCUAACUACGUGCCAGCAGCCGCGGUAAUACGUAGGUGGCAAGCGUUGUCCGGAUUUAUUGGGCGUAAAGCGAGCGCAGGCGGUUUCUUAAGUCUGAUGUGAAAGCCCCCGGCUCAACCGGGGAGGGUCAUUGGAAACUGGGAGACUUGAGUGCAGAAGAGGAGAGUGGAAUUCCAUGUGUAGCGGUGAAAUGCGUAGAUAUAUGGAGGAACACCAGUGGCGAAGGCGGCUCUCUGGUCUGUAACUGACGCUGAGGCUUAUCGCGUGGGGAGCAA
This 770-nucleotide ribosomal RNA is filed under the name uncultured Bacilli bacterium. RNAcentral describes it as "bacterial SSU rRNA". It matches the Rfam family "Bacterial small subunit ribosomal RNA", at positions 28 to 771 of the family's 1533-position model. The record is from RNAcentral. Lineage: Bacteria; Bacillati; Bacillota; Bacilli.